This 1235-nucleotide long non-coding RNA is filed under the name Fragaria vesca (wild strawberry). RNAcentral describes it as "long non-coding RNA (FVES_LNC004261)". Lineage: Eukaryota; Viridiplantae; Streptophyta; Magnoliopsida; Rosales; Rosaceae. The record is from RNAcentral.
AUGGUAAAGUCGUCCCAUGUUCUUUUUUGGUUGGACCAACCCAACCGGCGAUUUACGUCUUCCUGAAUUGGGAGAGCAAGAACAAGUCUCUCUUCAUUCUUUGACUGCUCUGCUCUGCGCGCUAUACUUUUGCUUUUUACCCGAUCCUGGGAUAUCGCUUUGCUUUCGGAAACCUUACCAGACCACCACCAGACUUCGUUGCUUGUGUGCUUGGACAUACAUAGCCGAACAGAGCCUACAGAAGUAAACCUUUCUAAAUGCACACGCUUUACUGUGCGGACGGAAAGCCCUUGAUGAAUGCCAUGGCUAGAAUAAGACAGCUUCGAAGACGAAUAAUGCUAUGGCAAACCCUACUUAUCUUUUAUCUGUCUUCCACCCCUACUUUAAAGAAAGAAUGGGGUGGAACCCUCAAACUAAGUGACCUCUUUUUGGUACCUCAACUCAAAAUUGAUCGUGUACUUCUUGUGUUUACAGCAAGAUCUCUAUCUAAGUGUUGACAUCAAAUUCCUUACGGCAGAGCCAGCUCUUGAUUUAUAUGAAUUUCUGGGCGGUUUCCUCAGCUAAUUAAGAGGCCCUUCUUUCGAUUGACUCAGCUACAGAUGUUGGCUACUCACAGACAUUCUCAUAUCAUACAGAAUCUACUGGAAAGCUAAAUCUUGGAUGUGCGGUAUUUUGUUGAAUAUUCAUAAGUAGCUGGGUACCUGUUCUUGAGUCAUAUCUGCUGUCUCGACUAUACACACUAUUUCCUAUAAAAAAAAUAUUACAAUGAAGUCCAAAGAGCAAAACCCUAUACUAAAUAAAAAUGUAGUCGUUGAAGCCUUUCUGCAACAUCUUCUGUCUAUGGAUUCUUUCCACGCUACGAGUCCGCUGUCAAUCUUGCUUUCGGCCUCACUCAAGGGAAGGCCCUAUUAUUGGAGAUCUUCCUUGACGGGUGGAAGGGUCUUUUUUUCUAUGUGUUUCGCCCAUUCGAGUGCUCUUUGACAAUGGCAUCAUAGGCACCAGGCCCCGGUCCGUCUGUGCAGCUUCGAAUGAUCGGGUUUCAACGGCUUCCCUAGCUGUGCGGAUCUAUCUGGCAGUUCACUACGCGCCGAAUGAUUCUUUGCUAUUUACUCUCUCUGUCUGUUAGCGUGACCCUACUUCUAGCCUGCUUUGUCUUUAAAGGUAACGAGACGAGCUCUCCUCUUCUCGUCUGGGCCUUAACUUAAAAUCAAGCGUAACUGCCGCUUCUUACGAGU